GUGCUUGCUUCAGCAGCACAUAUACUAAAAUGAGAACAAUACCGAGAAGAUUAGCAUGGCCUCUGCACAAGGAUGACACGUAAAUUCAUAAAGCGUUCCAUAUUUUU
Molecule: small nuclear RNA, 107 nt
Organism: Fukomys damarensis (Damara mole-rat)
Lineage: Eukaryota; Metazoa; Chordata; Mammalia; Rodentia; Bathyergidae
Source: Ensembl